AUUGAACGCUGGCGGCAUGCCUACACAUGCAAGUCGAACGGCAGCACGGGUGCUUGCACCUGGUGGCGAGUGGCGAACGGGUGAGUAAUACAUCGGAACGUACCUUAUCGUGGGGGAUAACGCAGCGAAAGCUGUGCUAAUACCGCAUACGCCCUGAGGGGGAAAGCGGGGGAUCGCAAGACCUCGCGCGAUUAGAGCGGCCGAUGCCUGAUUAGCUUGUUGGUGGGGUAAAAGCCCACCAAGGCGACGAUCAGUAGCUGGUCUGAGAGGACAAUCAGCAACACUGGGACAGAGACACGGCCAGACUCCUACGGGAGGCAGCAGUGGGGAAUUUUGGACAAUGGGGGCAACCCUGAUCCAGCAAUGCCGCGUGAGUGAAGAAGGCCUUCGGGUUGUAAAGCUCUUUUGUCAGGGAAGAAACACCGGCUCUAACACAGUCCGGGAAUGACGGUACCUGAAGAAUAAGCACCGGCUAACUACGUGCCAGCCGCCGCAGUAA
This 499-nucleotide ribosomal RNA is filed under the name uncultured bacterium. RNAcentral's name for it is "partial 16S ribosomal RNA". It matches the Rfam family "Bacterial small subunit ribosomal RNA", at positions 29 to 523 of the family's 1533-position model. The record is from RNAcentral.